CCUAGGGGUGGCAGCAGUGGGGAAUAUUGGACAAUGGGCGAAAGCCUGAUCCAGCCAUGCCGCGUGUGUGAAGAAGGCCUUCGGGUUGUAAAGCACUUUCAGUGGGGAAGAAAGCCUUGGGGCUAAUACCCUCGAGGAAGGACAUCACCCACAGAAGAAGCACCGGCUAACUCCGUGCCAGCAGCCGCGGUAAUACGGAGGGUGCGAGCGUUAAUCGGAAUUACUGGGCGUAAAGCGCGCGUAGGCGGUCUGAUAAGCCGGUUGUGAAAGCCCCGGGCUCAACCUGGGAACGGCAUCCGGAACUGUCAGGCUAGAGUGCAGGAGAGGAAGGUAGAAUUCCCGGUGUAGCGGUGAAAUGCGUAGAGAUCGGGAGGAAUACCAGUGGCGAAGGCGGCCUUCUGGACUGACACUGACGCUGAGGUGCGAAAGCGUGGGUAGCAAACAGGAUUAGAUACCCGGGUAGU
RNAcentral lists this ribosomal RNA (464 nucleotides) under Vreelandella stevensii. RNAcentral's name for it is "partial 16S ribosomal RNA". It matches the Rfam family "Bacterial small subunit ribosomal RNA", at positions 338 to 794 of the family's 1533-position model. The record is from RNAcentral. Lineage: Bacteria; Pseudomonadati; Pseudomonadota; Gammaproteobacteria; Oceanospirillales; Halomonadaceae.